UAGGGAAUCUUCCGCAAUGGACGAAAGUCUGACGGAGCAACGCCGCGUGAGUGAAGAAGGAUUUCGGUUAGUAAAACUCCGUUGUUAGGGUAGAAAAAAUGUAUAGUAACUAUACACAAAAGAGACGGUACCUAACCAGAAAGCCACGGCUAACUACGUGACAGCAGCCGCGGUAAUACGUAGGUGGCAAGCGCUGACCGGAAUAAUUGGGCGUAAAGCGCGCGCAGGUGGUUUAGUAAGUCUGAUGUGAAAGCCCACGGCUCAACCGUGGAGGGUCCUUGGAAACUAAUAAACUUUAGUGCAGUGGAGAAAAGUGGAAUUCCUGGUGUAUCGAUGAAAUUCGUAGAGAUUUGUUGGAACACCGGUGUCGAAAGCGGCUUUUUCGCCUGCAACUGACACUGAGGCGCGAAAGCGUGGGAAUCAAACAGU
Molecule: ribosomal RNA, 429 nt
Filed under: Verrucomicrobiota bacterium
Lineage: Bacteria; Pseudomonadati; Verrucomicrobiota
Description: Verrucomicrobia bacterium partial 16S ribosomal RNA
Rfam family: Bacterial small subunit ribosomal RNA
Source: RNAcentral